Molecule: transfer RNA, 72 nt
Filed under: Camelus bactrianus (Bactrian camel)
Lineage: Eukaryota; Metazoa; Chordata; Mammalia; Artiodactyla; Camelidae
Also listed under: 3 other names
Rfam family: tRNA
About the family: Transfer RNA (tRNA) molecules are approximately 80 nucleotides in length.
Source: Rfam by way of RNAcentral
GAGGGGAUAGCUCAGUGGUAGAGUAUGUGCUUAGCAUGCACAAGGUCCUGGGUUCAAUCCCCAGUACCUCCA